RNAcentral lists this small RNA (738 nucleotides) under Pongo abelii (Sumatran orangutan). RNAcentral's name for it is "retained intron". The record is from RNAcentral. Lineage: Eukaryota; Metazoa; Chordata; Mammalia; Primates; Hominidae.
AUGCAGACAGGAUUGCAGUCGGCCUAGAAGAAGGGCUGUAUGUCAUAGAGGUCACCCGAGAUGUGAUCGUCCGUGCCGCUGACUCUAAGAAGGUGCACCAGAUCGAGCUUGCGCCCAGGGAGAAGAUCGUAAUCCUCCUGUGUGGCCGGAACCACCAUGUGCACCUCUAUCCAUGGUCGUCCCUUGAUGGAGCGGAAGGCAGUUUUGACAUCAAACUUCCGGAAACCAAAGGCUGCCAGCUCAUGGCCACGGCCAUACUCAAGAGGAACUCUGGCACCUGCCUGUUUGUGGCCGUGAAACGGCUGAUCCUUUGCUAUGAGAUCCAGAGAACGAAGCCAUUCCACAGAAAGUUCAAUGAGAUUGUGGCUCCCGGCAGCGUGCAGUGCCUGGCGGUGCUCAGGGACAGGCUCUGUGUGGGCUACCCUUCUGGGUUCUGCCUGCUGAGCAUCCAGGGGGACGGGCAGCCUCUAAACCUGGUAAAUCCCAAUGACCCCUCGCUUGCGUUCCUCUCACAACAGUCUUUUGAUGCCCUUUGUGCUGUGGAGCUCGAAAGCGAGGAGUACCUGCUUUGCUUCAGCCACAUGGGACUGUACGUGGACCCGCAAGGCCGGAGGGCACGCGCGCAGGAGCUCAUGUGGCCUGCGGCUCCUGUCGCCUGUAGUAUGUAUAUGUUUUCUGUUGCAUAUCCCUGUUGCUGCUUUUCCCACCGACAGUCAGCAUGUGUUCGAUUUUGCUUUG